This 86-nucleotide transfer RNA is filed under the name Helianthus annuus (common sunflower). RNAcentral describes it as "tRNA HanXRQr2_Chr15g0689261". It matches the Rfam family "tRNA". Rfam says of the family: Transfer RNA (tRNA) molecules are approximately 80 nucleotides in length. The record is from RNAcentral. Lineage: Eukaryota; Viridiplantae; Streptophyta; Magnoliopsida; Asterales; Asteraceae.
CUUGUCGAUAUGUCCGAGUGGUUAAGGAGAUAGACUUGAAAUCUAUUGGGCUACGCCCGCGCAGGUUCGAACCCUGCUGUCGACGA